RNAcentral lists this ribosomal RNA (441 nucleotides) under uncultured bacterium. Its description in RNAcentral is "partial 16S ribosomal RNA". It matches the Rfam family "Bacterial small subunit ribosomal RNA", at positions 338 to 795 of the family's 1533-position model. The record is from RNAcentral.
CCUACGGGUGGCAGCAGUGAGGAAUAUUGCACAAUGGGCGGGACCCUGAUCCAGCAACGCCGCGUGAGUGAAGAAGUAUCUCGGUAUCGUAAGCCCCAUCAGCAGGGAAGAAAAAAGACGGUACCUGACUAAGAAGCCUCGACUAAAUACAUGCCAACCGGCGCGGUACUUAGGAGGGGGCACGCGUUAUCCGGAUUUACUGGGUUUAACGGGAGCGUAGACGGCUAUGCAAGUCUGAAGUGAAAGUCCGUGGCUCAACCGCGGAACUGCUUUGGAAACUGGAUGGCUUGAGUACGGGAGAGGCAGGCGGAAUGCGUAGUGUAGCGGUGAAAUGCGUAGAUAUCAGGCAGAACACCGGUGGCGAAGGCAGCCUGCUGGACAGACACUGACGUUGAGGCACGAAAGCGUGGGGAUCAAACAGGAUUAGAUACCCUAGUAGUC